AGGUGGAGCUCGUUGUGCAUCAUGGAAAAACUGCAGGAUCUAUUCUACCUUCAAAAAGCAGAGAUCUUGCUUCAUCGUAUAUGAAAAUUUGUUGGUCGUCGUGCAUUACUACAAUUCCCUUCCGCACGCCCCUGCUUCUUUCUGUCCACCUCUUUUCUCUCUCUCCACACACAGAGAGCCCUCUACGAGCGAGAACAGAAGCGCAGCAGAGACGCGAAGGCCAAGAUGAAAUGGAGCAGGAAAUAGUUGCCCAAGAUGGUCACGACCUCUAUGUCCGAGUGCGGCUUUCAGACACAGGAUCUAUAAGCAGGAAUUGUGGAACUUGUGGCACUAAUUUAUUCCCCUACCCUUUAAGCACGGAAGAGGACUGUCACGAUCCCCUUUACUCUCCAUUAGCUACGACAGCAAAAAUGGCGGAUACAUGUCUCCGGAGUAUGGUUUGAGCGGAGUUUUCUCGGUCAAGUCCGAUGUUUAUAGCUUUGGUGUUGUUGUAAUGGAGAUUGUUAGCGGGAAAUGUAACACGGGCCCUUAUCAGUCCCAAGAAAUAUCGAGCCUUCUCGCUUAUGCACGGGAAUUAUGGAAUGACAAUAAAGCGUCGGACUUGAUGGAUCAAGCGCUGCACACAACUUACAAUAUAGAUGAAGUUUUGAAGUGUAUAAAAGUGGGCUUUUAUGUGUGCAAGACGACCCGAGUGAUUGUCCCACAAUGUCAGAUACAGUUUUGAUGCUCCAUGGCGGAUUUGCGACUCUUGCGAUUCCCAAAUGACCGACUUUUACAGUUCGGAGAGGCCCGGCUCUUUCUUUACCGGAGUCGAGCACGGGGUCAUAUACUCGUCGGGACCAUGGUUAACCCUCCGUCUCCGCCGCCGUCACAGCUGCUGCGACCGGGGGGGCUCUUCGGAGCAAGCAAGAGGGAGUGUUGAGUCCGCAGAGUCGGAAAUCGCCAUACUUCCCAUAGAAUGAAAGGGCCAUUUCAGAUAUCGAACGGCAUAUUACAGUGCCCCACACACGACCGAAUUGCCUUCCCAUGAUUUGACGCUGAAGAACUGCAUGCAUCCCUAACCUCUGAAGUGAUCAGUCGAUUCUCAAAUACGAAACAAUGAAAUCGAUCGAGAAUCACAUUUAACACAGCGGACAUUGAUCAUCGAAUGCCAAACUAGAGCUCUAACGGAGGGCUUACUCGGGAAGGAGACGAAAGGCAGACGGACUUGAGAUUCUUGGGAUUCAAGACAUGAAAUAUCAACGGUUUCGCCAGGAACGAGCCAUGGCCGCUUGCUCGACUCCGGUAAAGAAAGAGCCGGGCCUCUCUGAACCGUAAAAGUCGGUCUUUUGGGAACUGGAAGAGUCGCAAAUCCGACAUGGAGCAUCAAAACUGCAUCUGACAUUGUGGGACAUUCACUCGGGUUGUCUUGCACACAUAAAAGCCCCACUUUUAUACACUUCAAAACUUCAUCUCUAUUGUAAGUUGCGUGCAGCGCUUGAUCCAUCAAGUCCAACACUUUAUUCUCAUUCCAUAAUUC
Long non-coding RNA from Syzygium oleosum, 1519 nucleotides. RefSeq lists it as uncharacterized. Lineage: Eukaryota; Viridiplantae; Streptophyta; Magnoliopsida; Myrtales; Myrtaceae. The transcript is spliced from 6 exons. The record is from RefSeq and is a predicted model, not a curated record.